Molecule: non-coding RNA, 746 nt
Organism: Camellia sinensis
Lineage: Eukaryota; Viridiplantae; Streptophyta; Magnoliopsida; Ericales; Theaceae
Source: RefSeq, a predicted model, not a curated record
CCAUGAUGAAUCAGGAAACAUUGUACCCUUUCAUUAUGAGCUAUGCGGAUGGAAUCUUGCUCGCCCUAUCAAACAAGAGGAGAGAGAUGAAGAAGUUUUAUGUAUGGCCUGCUUGCUGAUGGCGGAAUUUAAAGAUUAUAUAGAGAAUUAUGACAUUGGUAGAUAUGCAUUCAUGGAAUCGCAUUCAAAAGGAAAUAAAAAUUUUCUAAAUGCAAUGAAUCCGGAUGAUGGUACAUAUGUUGGGGAUAUAUUGGAGGUUGAAAUGGGGCUCAUGUACGAUUUGUUAUACACAAAAGCAUCCAUAACAUUUACCAAGAGAGGGUGCAUUUUUUGCUCUAUCAGCUUCAUGUGUACGGUGUCUCUGUUGGUAGGACUCUUCCGGCUUAUCGCCAUGGAAGCGAAGUGGCACAAGCAGCACUACUCCAUGGAAGCGAAGUGGCCGGUCCUUGUUUAAGAGAAAUAAAAAGACAAGAACGUAAAGGACGCGAAUUGUCUCCCUCAGAUAUGACAGAAAUUUGUUUAUGACAAUAGAUCUUUCUCGUGAAGAAGCUGCAGAAGAACAAGGACACAAAGAUGCGAUGGAUUUUUUCUUAAAAGAUGUGAUUAUUGAACUCGACGAUGGUAAUAAGAAGGUGAAAUGGGAAAAAUUGAAAAUGGUGUGGUUGGGGAUGUUAUGCUACGCUGUAAUUAGUGGUUCAAAAAAUUAAAUAUAAUAAAGAUGUAAAAAUUAUUCUGUCUUAAGAUUA